This 372-nucleotide ribosomal RNA is filed under the name uncultured organism. RNAcentral describes it as "bacterial SSU rRNA". It matches the Rfam family "Bacterial small subunit ribosomal RNA", at positions 526 to 896 of the family's 1533-position model. The record is from RNAcentral.
CGUAGGUGGCAAGCGUUGUCCGGAAUUAUUGGGCGUAAAGCGCGCGCAGGCGGCUCCUUAAGUCUGAUGUGAAAGCCCCCGGCUCAACCGGGGAAGGUCAUUGGAAACUGGGGAACUUGAGUGCAGAAGAGAAGAGCGGAAUUCCACGUGUAGCGGUGAAAUGCGUAGAGAUGUGGAGGAACACCAGUGGCGAAGGCAGCUCUUUGGUCUGUAACUGACGCUGAGGCGCGAAAGCGUGGGGAGCAAACAGGAUUAGAUACCCUGGUAGUCCACGCCGUAAACGAUGAGUGCUAAGUGUUAGAGGGUUUCCGCCCUUUAGUGCUGCAGCUAACGCAUUAAGCACUCCGCCUGGGGAGUACGGCCGCAAGGCUG